RNAcentral lists this ribosomal RNA (403 nucleotides) under uncultured bacterium. RNAcentral describes it as "partial 16S ribosomal RNA". It matches the Rfam family "Bacterial small subunit ribosomal RNA", at positions 28 to 526 of the family's 1533-position model. The record is from RNAcentral.
GACGAACGCUGGCGGCGUGCUUAACACAUGCAAGUCGAGCGGAGCGGCGAACGGGUGAGUAACGCGUGAGUAACUGCCCCCCUCUCUGGGAUAACAGUUGGAAACGGCUGCUAAUACCGGAUAGUGGGGGAUGACUCGCGUCAUAAAAGCUUGUUGGUGGGGUAGUGGCCUACCAAGGCGACGACGGGUAGCCGGCGUGAGAGGGCGACCGGCCGCAUUGGGCUGGGAAACGGCCCAAACACCUACGGGAGGAAGAAGUGGGGAAGAUUGCACGAUGGGGGAAUCGCUGAUGCAGCAACGCGCGUGCGGGAUGACGGCCUUCGGGUUGUAAGCCGCUUUCAGCCAGGACGGGGUAGUGGCAGAAGAAGAACCGGCUAACCACGUGCAAGAAGCCGCGGUAUAC